RNAcentral lists this ribosomal RNA (95 nucleotides) under Looseria orbiculata. Lineage: Eukaryota; Viridiplantae; Streptophyta; Bryopsida; Hypnales; Lembophyllaceae. The record is from RNAcentral.
UGAUGCGGUCAUACCAAGGCUACUACACCAGAUCCCAUCAGAACUCUGAAGUUAAGCGCCUUUGGGCCGGAAUAGUACUGGGAUGGGUGACCUCC